AAAUAGGCUCCAGUCACCUACAAAUACAAACUUAUUUCAUAAUUUAACUUGCAUCAUACACAGGAUUGAAUCUUUUGUGGUAACUUCCCUUUUCAAAUCGAUGAUGUCUUGACCCUCUUAUUAUCACAUUCAGAUUCAUUUCUAAUCUUUUUUUUUUUUUUUGGGUAAACUUGUCCUUUCUAUUCCUGUCUUUGAUCUCCAGAAAUUCUUUUGAUCAUUAGAAUAAUUUCGUGCAUCAAAUAUCUUCUCCAAUCACAUCAUCUAUUUUUCUGCUACCAAUGUAUUAGGUUCACCACGCUUCUACUGCGCUACUCUGAUUUAAUAUCCUCGAUCAACCCUUUUAUUGUACUUCAUUAAUCAAAAGCAGAUGAAGUAGGAGGACUAAAUGUCCUCGUCAUCCUAGAUUCCAAAAAUGCAUCAAAGAAAAUUUUCACCAAUCACUAUAGUUCACUAGACCUCAAUAUAUUUUGCACGUCAACAUAUCAAAUAUUUCAGUGAACCUCAAACCAUGCUCUGAUACCAC
Molecule: long non-coding RNA, 523 nt
Filed under: Musa acuminata (dwarf banana)
Lineage: Eukaryota; Viridiplantae; Streptophyta; Magnoliopsida; Zingiberales; Musaceae
Description: long non-coding RNA (MACU_LNC009909)
Source: RNAcentral